UUGAAAGGGAAACGAUUGAAGUCAGUCGUACCUGUGGGUAAUCAGCCUUUUGGGUGUGAUUUUGUGGAGUGUGAGGAGUUAAACGCCUUUAUGCCUGCAUAUUCGUGCACUUUGGGUGUAUUUACCCGUGUGGUAAGUUAACAUCAAUUUCGGUGAUCAUAAAAUGGCUGGAGGAAUGUAGCUUCGAUCUUGUAUUGAAGUGUUAUAGCCUUCGGUAGAUGUGAUGAUCGGGAUUGAGGAUUGCAACGGAUACCCUUCGGGGCUACCUGUCUGAUCUCUGAUCGUUGCUCUGGUGCCGAAAGCUUGCUUACGGUUAUCAAAGUCGAUGGUCAAUAGGUUAGAAUGGGUUAAAUUCGUUAAGGAUGUUGACGUA
Molecule: ribosomal RNA, 373 nt
Filed under: uncultured Glomeromycotina
Lineage: Eukaryota; Fungi; Glomeromycota
Description: LSU rRNA
Source: RNAcentral